AUUGAACGCUGGCGGCAUGCUUUACACAUGCAAGUCGAGCGGCAGCGCGGGGGCAACCCUGGCGGCGAGCGGCGAACGGGUGAGUAAUACAUCGGAACGUGUCCCGUAGUGGGGGAUAGCCCGGCGAAAGCCGGAUUAAUACCGCAUAUGCUCUGCGGAGGAAAGCGGGGGAUUCGCAAGAACCUCGCGCUAUGGGAGCGGCCGAUGUCCGAUUAGCUUGUUGGUGAGGUAAAGGCUCACCAAGGCGACGAUCGGUAGCUGGUCUGAGAG
RNAcentral lists this ribosomal RNA (270 nucleotides) under uncultured bacterium. RNAcentral's name for it is "partial 16S ribosomal RNA". It matches the Rfam family "Bacterial small subunit ribosomal RNA", at positions 30 to 298 of the family's 1533-position model. The record is from RNAcentral.